CAUGUAGGCGGUUAUCUAAGCUUGGUGUGAAAGGCAGGGGCUCAACUCCUGGACUGCAUUGAGAACUGGAUAACUAGAGUUACUGAAGUGAAAUCAGAAUUCCAGGUGUAGGGGUGAAAUCUGUAGAUAUCCGGAAGAAUACCAAUGGCGAAGGCAGGUUUCAGGCAGAUAACUGACGCUGAGGUGCGAAGGUGCGGGGAGCAAACA
RNAcentral lists this ribosomal RNA (207 nucleotides) under uncultured bacterium. Its description in RNAcentral is "partial 16S ribosomal RNA". It matches the Rfam family "Bacterial small subunit ribosomal RNA", at positions 568 to 774 of the family's 1533-position model. The record is from RNAcentral.